Molecule: ribosomal RNA, 475 nt
Filed under: uncultured bacterium
Lineage: Bacteria
Description: bacterial SSU rRNA
Rfam family: Bacterial small subunit ribosomal RNA
Source: RNAcentral
GGACGAACGCUGGCGGCGUGCCUAACACAUGCAAGUCGAGCGAGGAGAUCCUUCGGGAUGAUCCUAGCGGCGGACGGGUGAGUAACACGUGGGCAACCUGCCUCAUAGAGAGGAAUAGCCUUCCGAAAGGGAGAUUAAUACCUCAUAACAUUGCAGUUUCGCAUGGAACAGCAAUUAAAGGAGUAAUCCGCUAUGAGAUGGGCCCGCGGCGCAUUAGCUAGUUGGUGAGGUAAUGGCUCACCAAGGCGACGAUGCGUAGCCGACCUGAGAGGGUGAUCGGCCACAUUGGGACUGAGACACGGCCCAGACUCCUACGGGAGGCAGCAGUGGGGAAUAUUGCACAAUGGGGGAAACCCUGAUGCAGGCCAACGCCGCGUGAGUGAUGACGGCCUUCGGGUUGUAAAGCUCUGUCUUCAGGGACGAUAAUGACGGUACCUGAGGAGGAAGCCACGGCUAACUACGUGCCAGCAGCAGC